UACGUAGGGUGCGAGCGUUAAUCGGAAUUACUGGGCGUAAAGGGCGUGCAGGCGGUCUGUUAAGUGCAGGGUGAAAGCUCCCGGCUCAACUGGGAGAGGUCCUUGCAUACUGGCGGACUUGAGGGGGGUAGAGGAAAGUGGAAUUCCCGGUGUAGUGGUGAUAUGCGUAGAUAUCGGGAGGAACACCUGUGGCGAAGGCGGCUUUCUGGGCCCUACCUGACGCUGAGACGCGAAGGCGUGGGGAGCGAACCGG
RNAcentral lists this ribosomal RNA (253 nucleotides) under uncultured bacterium. RNAcentral describes it as "partial 16S ribosomal RNA". It matches the Rfam family "Bacterial small subunit ribosomal RNA", at positions 524 to 776 of the family's 1533-position model. The record is from RNAcentral.